GAUGAAGAACGUAGCGAAACGCGAUAGGUAAUGUGAAUUGCAGAAUUCCGUGAAUCAUCGAAUCUUUGAACGCACCUUGCGCCCUUUGGCCAUUCCGAAGGGCAUGCCUGUUUGAGUAUCAUGAACACCUCAACUCUUUAUGGUUUUCCAUGAUGAGCUUGGACUCUGGGGGUUUUGCUGGCUCACAGUCGGCUCCUCUAAAAUGAAUCAGCUUACCAGUGUUUGGUGGGUAUCAUGGGUGUGAUAACUAUCUACGCUUGUGGUUUUUCCACCAGGUAACCUUCAGCAGUGGAGGUUCGCUGGAGCUCAUAGAUGUCUCUCCUCAGUGAGGACAGCCCUUUGAAUGUUUGAUCUCAAAUCAGGUAGGACUACCCGCUGAACUUAAGCAUAUCAAUAAGCGGAGGA
RNAcentral lists this unclassified non-coding RNA (405 nucleotides) under soil metagenome. RNAcentral describes it as "partial contains 5.8S ribosomal RNA, internal transcribed spacer 2, and large subunit ribosomal RNA". The stretch from base 1 to 121 matches the Rfam family "5.8S ribosomal RNA", at positions 35 to 154 of the family's 154-position model. The record is from RNAcentral.